CACAGCACACAACAUCAAAUACCAAAAAUGACCCCAACCUCCUAGAAAAAUACUGAGCUAUACUAUAAUUAUAGAAAAACUAAUGCUAGAACUAGUAACAAGAAAAUUUCUCUAGGCACCCCUGUAACCCAGAAAUAGAAAAUCUGCUGGACUUUAACCAGACCACAGCAGGCACCACACAACCAAGUGUACCACUAACUGUUAAACCAACACCGGAGUGCCCCCAAGACAGAUUAAAAGUUAUUUAAGGAACUCAGCAAAACUUGUCCCAACUGUUUACCAAAAACAUAGCCUUUAGCCUUAUAAGUAUUAAAGGUAUCGCCUGCCCAGUGAAAUUUUUAACGGCCGCGGUAUUCUAACCGUGCAAAGGUAGCGUAAUCACU
This 383-nucleotide ribosomal RNA is filed under the name Trachylepis quinquetaeniata (African five-lined skink). RNAcentral describes it as "partial 16S rRNA". The stretch from base 270 to 383 matches the Rfam family "Bacterial large subunit ribosomal RNA", at positions 1797 to 1969 of the family's 2925-position model. Lineage: Eukaryota; Metazoa; Chordata; Lepidosauria; Squamata; Scincidae. The record is from RNAcentral.